This 439-nucleotide ribosomal RNA is filed under the name uncultured bacterium. RNAcentral's name for it is "partial 16S ribosomal RNA". It matches the Rfam family "Bacterial small subunit ribosomal RNA", at positions 339 to 795 of the family's 1533-position model. The record is from RNAcentral.
CUACGGGACGCAGCAGUGAGGAAUAUUGCACAAUGGGGGGAACCCUGAUGCAGCAACGCCGCGUGGAGGAUGACGCAUUUCGGUGUGUAAACUCCUUUUAUAUGUCAAGAAAAUGACGGUAGCAUAUGAAUAAGCACCGGCUAACUCCGUGCCAGCAGCCGCGGUAAUACGGAGGGUGCAAGCGUUACUCGGAAUCACUGGGCGUAAAGGACGCGUAGGCGGGUUGGAAAGUCAGGUGUGAAAUCCUACAGCUUAACUGUAGAACUGCACUUGAAACUGGUAACCUAGAGUAUGGGAGGGGGAGAUGGAAUUAGUGGUGUAGGGGUAAAAUCCGUAGAUAUCACUAGGAAUACCUAAAGCGAAGGCGAUCUCCUGGAACAUUACUGACGCUAAGGCGUGAAAGCGUGGGGAGCAAACAGGAUUAGAUACCCCCGUAGUC